CUUCUCUUGUAGAGCCAAAGAAGGAAUGUAAUGACUGAUGCCUAGUCGCAAGUUAUUUUGUUGACAAAAUCGGUGCGAAGAAUUGCUAUCCACUUCCUAGGACCGAAGCCAUUCUAGGUCAGCUUUAAGGUAUCAGGUUGCUAGUUCAUCUACAUCUGAGAGGAGUUGGAGCACAUACUCCAUCCACUCAAUGGAGCACAAUCGACUACUUUUAAAAAAGGUGGAGGACUUGGUGUGUGUGCAUUCAAACUUGUGGCUCCUUAUAUGCAAACAAAGUGGCUACAAAGAAGGGGACACAAGGAAGUGGGAUAUUGAGCCAGAGCAUAUUUACUUGGGUGCUUUUACUGCCCGCUUUGUUGCACUUGAUGUUGACGAUGACUAUGAGCCAACUAGUGAGCAUGAAGUGCCGGUGCCGGUUUCAAUGCAAGUGCUAGUGCUAGUGCCAAUGACACUAUUUGUGGUUCUUCUAAUUUACCACUAUCUACAUCAUCUAAUAUGGACAGUGAUGAUGAUAUUUUUGGCAACCCAUAUGAUAUUUAAUCAAUGAUGGCUGAUUGUUGACACAUGACAUUAUUAUCUUUUAACUUUAAUAUCUAUCGUGACAUUUGAGUUUCACUAA
Cryptomeria japonica (Japanese cedar) is the source of this 619-nucleotide long non-coding RNA. RefSeq lists it as uncharacterized. The record is from RefSeq and is a predicted model, not a curated record. The transcript has 2 exons. NCBI's taxonomy places the organism in Eukaryota, Viridiplantae, Streptophyta, Pinopsida, Cupressales, Cupressaceae.